UCAGGAAUGGGCUAAAUGCCAA
This 22-nucleotide microRNA is filed under the name Danio rerio (zebrafish). RNAcentral's name for it is "dre-miR-461". Its record names the gene dre-miR-461. The record is from miRBase by way of RNAcentral. Lineage: Eukaryota; Metazoa; Chordata; Actinopteri; Cypriniformes; Danionidae.